UGGGGAAUAUUGGACAAUGGGGGAAACCCUGAUCCAGCCAUGCCGCGUGUGUGAAGAAGGCUCUAGGGUUGUAAAGCACUUUCAGUAGGGAGGAAAAGUUGAUAGCUAAUAACUGUCAGCCCUGACGUUACCUACAGAAGAAGCACCGGCAAACUCCGUGCCAGCAGCCGCGGUAAUACGGAGGGUGCGAGCGUUAAUCGGAAUUACUGGGCGUAAAGCGCGCGUAGGCGGUUUGAUAAGCUGGAUGUGAAAGCCCCGGGCUCAACCUGGGAACUGCAUCCAGAACUGUCUGACUAGAGUACAGUAGAGGUGAGUGGAAUUUCCUGUGUAGCGGUGAAAUGCGUAGAUAUAGGAAGGAACAUCAGUGGCGAAGGCGGCUCACUGGACUGAUACUGACGCUGAGGUGCGAAAGCGUGGGGAGCAAACAGG
Molecule: ribosomal RNA, 429 nt
Filed under: uncultured bacterium
Lineage: Bacteria
Description: bacterial SSU rRNA
Rfam family: Bacterial small subunit ribosomal RNA
Source: RNAcentral